RNAcentral lists this signal recognition particle RNA (98 nucleotides) under Mycoplasmatota bacterium. RNAcentral describes it as "Tenericutes bacterium (anaerobic digester metagenome) signal recognition particle sRNA small type". It matches the Rfam family "Bacterial small signal recognition particle RNA". Rfam says of the family: The signal recognition particle (SRP) is a universally conserved ribonucleoprotein involved in the co-translational targeting of proteins to membranes. Archaeal SRP consists of a 7S RNA and homologues of the eukaryotic SRP19 and SRP54 proteins. Lineage: Bacteria; Bacillati; Mycoplasmatota. The record is from RNAcentral.
AAAUAAAAAUGACGCAACAAGAACGUUCGAACCAGGUCAGGACCGGAAGGUAGCAGCCUUAAGAACUAAUUCUUGUGUGCGUCAUUUUUUUAGAGGUG